RNAcentral lists this ribosomal RNA (852 nucleotides) under uncultured bacterium. RNAcentral's name for it is "bacterial SSU rRNA". It matches the Rfam family "Bacterial small subunit ribosomal RNA", at positions 60 to 907 of the family's 1533-position model. The record is from RNAcentral.
AGUCGAGGGGCAGCGCGAGGUAGCAAUACUUUGGCGGCGACCGGCGCACGGGUGCGUAACACGUAUGCAACUUACCUCUUACAAUCGGAUAACACGGUGAAAGUCGUGCUAAUACGGUAUAGUUUCGCAAGCUCGCAUGGGCAUGCGAAUAAAGAUUCAUCGGUAAGAGAUAGACAUGCGGUCCAUUAGAUAGUUGGUGAGGUAACGGCUCACCAAGUCGACGAUGGAUAGGGGGACUGAGAGGUUGACCCCCCACACUGGUACUGAGACACGGACCAGACUCCUACGGGAGGCAGCAGUGAGGAAUAUUGGUCAAUGGGCGAGAGCCUGAACCAGCCAAGUCGCGUGAAGGAAGACGGUUCAUAAGGAUUGUAAACUUCUUUUGCAGAGGAGUAACGGUAGGCACGUGUGCCUAUGUGAACGUACUCUGCGAAUAAGUAUCGGCUAACUCCGUGCCAGCAGCCGCGGUAAUACGGAGGAUACGAGCGUUAUCCGGAAUUAUUGGGUUUAAAGGGUGCGUAGGUGGCUAUUUAAGUCAGGGGUGAAAAGCAUGAGCUCAACUCAUGUCUUGCCUUUGAAACUGGACAGCUAGAGAAAAGACGAGGUAUGUGGAAUGUGUGGUGUAGCGGUGAAAUGCAUAGAUAUCACACAGAACUCCGAUUGCGCAGGCAGCGUACCAGACUUCUUCUGACACUGAAGCACGAAAGCGUGGGGAUCAAACAGGAUUAGAUACCCUGGUAGUCCACGCAGUAAACGAUGAAUACUAGUUUUUUGCGAUAUACAGUAAGAGACUAAGCGAAAGCGAUAAGUAUUCCACCUGGGGAGUACGCCGGCAACGGUGAAACUCAAAGG